This 542-nucleotide ribosomal RNA is filed under the name uncultured bacterium. RNAcentral's name for it is "bacterial SSU rRNA". It matches the Rfam family "Bacterial small subunit ribosomal RNA", at positions 40 to 578 of the family's 1533-position model. The record is from RNAcentral.
CGGCAGGCCUAAUACAUGCAAGUCGAACGGUAACAUGAGCGCUUGCGCUUGAUGACGAGUGGCGCACGGGUGCGUAACGCGUAUGCAACCUACCCUUUACUGGGGGAUAGCCCGGAGAAAUUCGGAUUAAUACCCCAUGGUAUUAUUUGAUGGCAUCAGAGAAUAAUUAAAGAUUUAUUGGUAAAGGAUGGGCAUGCGUGACAUUAGUUAGUUGGUGAGGUAACGGCUCACCAAGACGAUGAUGUCUAGGGGUUCUGAGAGGAAGGUCCCCCACACUGGUACUGAGACACGGACCAGACUCCUACGGGAGGCAGCAGUAGGGAAUAUUGGUCAAUGGACGGAAGUCUGAACCAGCCAUGCCGCGUGCAGGAAGACAGCUUUCUGAGUUAUAAACUGCUUUUAUAUAGGAACAAAGAGGCCCUGCGGGGCAAGUUGCGUGUACUAUAUGAAUAAGCACCGGCUAACUCCGUGCCAGCACGCCGCGGUAAUACGGAGGGUGCAAGCGUUGUCCGGAUUUAUUGGGUUAAAGGGUGCGUAGGUGG